UGGGGAAUAUUGGACAAUGGGGGGCAACCCUGAUCCAGCAAUGCCGCGUGUGUGAAGAAGGUCUUCGGAUUGUAAAGCACUUUCGACGGGGACGAUGAUGACGGUACCCGUAGAAGAAGCCCCGGCUAACUUCGUGCCAGCAGCCGCGGUAAUACGAAGGGGGCUAGCGUUGCUCGGAAUGACUGGGCGUAAAGGGCGUGUAGGCGGUUUACACAGUCAGAUGUGAAAUCCCCGGGCUUAACCUGGGAGCUGCAUUUGAUACGUGUAGACUAGAGUGUGAGAGAGGGUUGUGGAAUUCCCAGUGUAGAGGUGAAAUUCGUAGAUAUUGGGAAGAACACCGGUGGCGAAGGCGGCAACCUGGCUCAUGACUGACGCUGAGGCGCGAAAGCGUGGGGAGCAAACAGGAUUAGAUACCCUGGUAGUCCACGCUGUAAAC
This 436-nucleotide ribosomal RNA is filed under the name uncultured bacterium. RNAcentral describes it as "partial 16S ribosomal RNA". It matches the Rfam family "Bacterial small subunit ribosomal RNA", at positions 355 to 807 of the family's 1533-position model. The record is from RNAcentral.